GAAGGCCCAAGGUUUCCUGGGGAAGGUUCAUCCACCCAGGGUAAGUCGGGACCUAAGCCGAGGACUGAGGUCGUAGGCGAUGGACAGCAGGUAGAGAUUCCUGCACCACUUACACUUGUUUGACGAAGCAGUGACACAGAAGGAUAGGACGAGCGCGGUGAUGGUCAACCGCGUAGGCGGCACAAGGCUGGGGAGCAGUAAAGUACACUUCCCGGGAAGGCUGAGUGCUGACAGGACCGAAAAAGAGUAGGGAAGCGUCUGAGUUCACGCUGGCGAGAAAAGCUGCUAAGGAGAGUGUGAGUGCCCGUACCGGAAACCGACGCAGGUGGGCGAGGAGAGAAUCCUGAGACGGACGGGAGAACUCUUGUUAAGGAACUCGGCAAAAUGACCCCGUAACUUCGGGAGAAGGGGAGCCUCGAAAGAGGCCGCAGAGAAUAGUCACAAGCGACUGUUUAGCAAAAACACAGGUAUCUGCGAAAGCGAGAGCUGACGUAUAGGUGCUGACGCCUGCCCGGUGCUGGAAGGUUAAGGGGAAGUGUUAGGGGAAACCCGAAGCAGAGAACCGAAGCCCCAGUAAACGGCGGCCGUAACGAUAACGGUCCUAAGGUAGCGAAAUUCCUUGUCGGGUAAGUUCCGACCCGCACGAAUGGCGUAACGACUUGUGAGCUGUCUCAACAGGAGGCCCGGUGAAAUUGAAGUAUGUGUGAAGAUGCACAUUACCCGCGACUGGACGGAAAGACCCCGUAGAGCUUUACUGUAACCUGACAUUGGAUCUUGAUAACGGAUGCACAGGAUAGGUGGGACGCUGGGAGGUAUGGACUUUGGUCUGUACGGAGCGGACGUUGGGAUACCACUCUUCUGUUAUUGAGAUUCUAACCUCAAGCCGUAAGCCGGAUGAGAGACAGUGUCAGGCGGACAGUUUGACUGGGGCGGUCGCCUCCGAAAGAGUAACGGAGGCGCCCAAAGGUACCCUCAGAAUGGAUGGAAACCAUUCGAAGAGAGCAAAGUCAGAAGGGUGCUUGACUGCGAGACCAACAAGUCGAGCAGGUACGAAAGUAGGGCUUAGUGAUCCGGCGGUAAGAGAGUGGAAUUGCCGUCGCUCAACGGAUAAAAGCUACCUCGGGGAUAACAGGCUGAUCUCCCCCAAGAGUUCACAUCGACGGGGAGGUUUGGCACCUCGAUGUCGGCUCGUCGCAUCCUGGGGCUGAAGCAGGUCCCAAGGGUUUGGCUGUUCGCCAAUUAAAGCGGCACGCGAGCUGGGUUCAGAACGUCGUGAGACAGUUCAGUCCCUAUCCAUCGUGGGCGAAGGACACAUGAGAGGAGCUGCUCCUAGUACGAGAGGACCGGAGUGGACGCAUCACCGGUGCAACUGUUGUCGUGCCAACGGCACAGCAGGGAAGCGAAAUGCGGAUGGGAUAAACGCUGAAGGCAUCUAAGCGUGAAGCCCACCUCAAGAAUAAGUGUCCCAUUCGAAAGAAGUAAGACCCCUGGAGGACUACCAGGUGAUAGGUCAUCGGUGAAAGAGCGGUAACGUUUGGAGCUUGAUGAUACUAAUCGGUCGAGGACUUGACC
This 1572-nucleotide ribosomal RNA is filed under the name metagenome. Its description in RNAcentral is "bacterial LSU rRNA". It matches the Rfam family "Bacterial large subunit ribosomal RNA", at positions 1339 to 2925 of the family's 2925-position model. The record is from RNAcentral.